CUCGUGCACGCGCUCCGGCACACACGCCAAACCCCUUCCCCGCUUCGCUUGCUUUUUUUCUUUUCGGUGUGUCAACGCCGUUCAGCACCUACCUAUCUUUUUCUCCGACAGUGCGACAUUCUCCGUGCACGGCUUCUCUCCACUUGCCAUCGCGUGUGCGUGUCGAGUCGCGAGCACCACUUGACUGCAGCAACCUUGCCGAGUGCUGCAUCCAUCUGUGCGCACGCAGCCCCUUCACCUUCAUCUGGUGAGCUUCCGCGCGUCCGCGGACACACGCUGGCGCCCACGUCACCAUGGAGACAGUUCGCGGAUUCUGGGAUUGGGUAAACGACUACCCGCGCAACUUCAAGUCCGAGCACGGCCGCGACUUCCUCGAUAGCUACCCCGACUAUCCAGUGUACUCGACGAUCGCGUUUCUGCUGGUUGUCUUCUACCUGCCGGACUACAUUGAGCGGCACAGCAUCCGGCUGCCUAUCCGCUACCUUGUGGCAGCGUGGAACCUGUUUCUCUCGGUCGUCUCCACCUAUGGCACGAUACAGGUCACCAUGCAAAUUCCGUACCUGCUGCGCACGCGCACCUUACACAACACCAUGUGCGAGCUGCCCAUCGCGGACGGUCGUGAUAACAACCUUGUGUCGCGUCGCGCCGCCAUUGUUUAUGCGCACCAGCAGGGGCUCAUGAAGCGCGGUGUCGUCUUUAAGUGGCAACGCACGCCGGCUGACAUUCAGCAACGCGAUGCAGAGCUCUUCUACGACGGCCCCUCCACGUUCGCUGUUGCGAUGUUCGGCUACCUCAAGACACCCGAGCUGCUCGACACGCUCUUCCUCGUGCUGCAGCGCAAGCCCGUCUCCUUUCUGCACUGGUACCACCACAUCGCCACCGCCAUCUACGUGUGGCUGUCGUCGUACAUGCCAAUGCCGAGCGGCAUCGUCUUCUGCGCCAUGAACUACUUCGUGCACUCCUUCAUGUACUUCUACUACUUCCUCGUCAUGAUGGGGCUGCGCAAGUCGAUUCGCCCCUUCGCGCCGGUGAUCACGCUGCUGCAGGUGCUGCAGAUGUUCAUUGGCAUGUACAUCACCGUGUACACGUACUUCCAGUACUGGCUGGGCCCCGAGUACAGCAACACGCUCUUCUUCAAGCUCUUCGAGGUGGUGCUCAGCAACGCCUACCACGCGUACUGCAACGCGAAGAGCGUCGUGACGACUGGCGCGCUGGCGUCGCAGGUGCCCGCGUUCGACAUGUCUGACCGGUUCUGGGGCUGUGACAGCGACCCAACAUGUAUGCGCAUGGGCAUGCUGAUGUAUGGCAGCUACUGCGUGCUGUUCGCGGUGCUGUUCAAGGAGCUGUACCUGGACAAGCGCGUACACGAGAACAGCCUCGUGCUGGCGCGCGCGCACUGCUCAAGCGAUCAAGCGAACUGAGGCGGUCAAGAAAGAGGCCUAGUGGACAGAUACGAGGAAAGCCGGCUCGCAUUUUUUUGUUUGCAGGUGAGGCUCGGCGUAUUAUGUGUGCAUGCGUUGCAUGUCCGGAGAGUUGGUGGUUGCUAACUGGCUGCUAAGGGGCACCCUUAAGGUUUUGUUGUGUUGUUCUUGCUGCAGAACGUAGGAGGGCUUCUUGGAAACUUCAGGGUCAUCCCUGUCUGUAGCUGCUCAUCACGGGGCAAGGACGGCGCAGCGCCUCCCACAUAUGCACGCGGACAGACGCCUAACCGCAAAGACGAACGCACGGAAACUUGCGUGCAGGGUAGCUUGGCUGUUGCAUACAUCUUUACGUGGUUUUGCGGUGGUUGAUUUUUUGUUGUUUGUGUUGUGUGCCUUCUUAUAUUGUUUCGUUCGUGCGUGUAUGUGCAUGCGUAGAUGUAUGAAUAUAUAUGUGUGUUUAUGUGUGGUGCUUAUUUUUUCCCCUGAAGGCUCAUGUCGCACCAGCAGCCUGUCUGGCGCUCGUUUCGCGAUUUUUCUUCGCCUAUUCUCUUCUUUUUGUAGUUUCUUUUUUUUGUAAGUAUUAUAUAUGUAGUCUGCCGUUUUCAUUGCUGUUGUUGAGGUGAGAGGUGGUACUCUGCGUUGAUCUGCUUGAUCAAUCCCAGCACAUCGCGCUCCGCAGAAACGAAACGCGGGCUCUUCUUUCUUGAAUGAACAUGAGGGGCCUCUGUUAGGAUCCUCUGUUUUUUUUCCCCCUCAGCUGUGGACGGUCCCUCUCUCACUCUUUGAUAUUACGCGACGCGCUAAAAGCUCCGAGCGUCUGUGUGUGGAUGUGGGUGUCGGUAUCCGUGUGUGGAUACGAUGGUGCCUGUUCCUCGUCGUUAUCAUGUCGGUUGGUUUUGCUUUUCGUCUUCCGGCCGCUCCCCCAUGCUGGCAGUGGGCUCAUGUGCACAUCGCUUCCCCUCCUCUGUUUCUCUAUCUUGGAGUUGCUGUCGCUUGAAGGCCUAUUGCUUCCUUCGUUGCUGAGCAUUCAUGUCUGUGCGUUGCUGCUCGCCUUUCAGGUGUUUCGUUCUGGCAUCGAGCCUAUCCGACAGGCACCAGCGCACACCCACAAACAUGUGCAUGAAGGCAGAGCUCUCGGACAGCAACCAUAGUUGGUGCAGAUUAUAUUUCUUUUUCUGCUAACGCUUGUGACCUAUCCUGUCGAUUCCAUGUGUAUAAUAUGUCAUCCUGCUUCGCUCAGCUUCUUUUUGUAGCUCUGCAUGUGUCUCUGCCAGGCGCACCCCUCGCUGUCCUCGGCACGCGAUUCUCUCCCUCACUUACCCCUCCACGCUAUGGGUGCUUCCUAUUUGUUGGUGUUGAUUAUUUUUUCGAUCCUUCUAUACGCUUCUCCAUCCGCAUCUGUGCUUACGUGGCUCAUGUUUAUCUGAGUACCGUUGCUCGUGUUUUCUUCUUUACUUGCUUGUGUCUCCCGCGUCGCGUCUGCGGUACCCGCCCUACUCUCCGCCUGUACGGCACCCUCGGGUCAUCACUGCACGUUUCAAGCCCUUUGCCGGGUCGGUUUCUUUCCCCCACCUGACCCCACACACACACACUUAACCACGCACACCUUCCCUGUCAUCGGGCAGUGGCAGUAAUACGCCGUACCUGAGUGGCUCUGCAGCCUAGGGGAGGGGAGGGUGAUGGGUAUCAUCCACAGCAGCGCUCGCAUCCUUCACUUUUAUUUUUGCUUUCUCUCUGUAGAAACCCCCUCCUGCCCCUUAAGCAAGCGACUGCAUCCACAGGCAGCUUACGUGCGGAGUCGCGAGGGCUGCUUUGCUUGCUGGUUUUCAGUUUCCGUUUGGUAUACCCUCUUGUGUGCUCGCUGGUCUUCUCCGGCUUCUCUUCGUGUAUACGUUCACGUGUCAGUGUGUGGAUGUGCAGGAGGAAUGCACGCUCGUGUGUGUGUGUGUGUGUGUGUGUAUGUGCGUUGGUGUUGCGUCACGAAUCGCGUGCAUGGGACGUAUGUAGCGCACCUUCAGACCCCCACUCGCCUCUGCGUGGAAUGGUGCGUCAGUCGGACACAAAAAAAAAGAAAGCAAAAGCAACCCAUGAACGGCGUCCCACCAUCAUCUUUUCGGUGAUGCAGUCGUACUGCGCAUGCCGUCCGCACCGACUGAACUUGCAGCAGCGGAGAUGCACACCAACACACAAGAGGCAAGCACAGCGAAAGAGAGAGAGAGGGGGGCGCAGAGACUGCGCGACGGAAUUUUUUUUUCCUUUCAGCGUGCCCGCUCUGCCAUGAGCAUGACAGCAAAGAUUGCGGAUGCACAGCCGUAGUUCGCCCUGGCCCGGCUGCACUGCGGCUACGCCAAGGCACCAGGCCAAUCAGCGCUGUGGGGCGUCGUUGAGCUCAUUGCCAUUCCACCGCAUGCAGCGCAGGCUCAGUCCAGGAUCGCGCCCGGCAUCAUCGCUGCAACGCAGCGAACGCAGAAACGCCGCUGGGGAAAGCAUGCCCAUGACCGCACGUCUCCUUCGGCACAGCGCCAGUCCAGGCCUGUCCGCCGGGCACUGAGACUCCGCCAGCCGUGCCCGAGGGGUAGGCUGCAGGCUACCUGGCUUGCCCCAUAGCGAGUGGGAAGAUGAGGGGAGGGCACUGGGCCGCGUGAUAUUGCGGGGUGAGGUGGCCGGCAUCAUCAAGAGUGCCGCUUCUGUAAUACGAAUAAAGAAGUGGUAUUCGCGUCUGUGCGAACGGGCAUGUUUGUGCGUGUGUGUGUGUGUGUGUGUCUCUGUUUCGAUGGCAACCCCAUGAAAAGGUCGACUUGUGUUCAUGGCUACGUGUUUAGGUCUUGUGGACGACGGCCCCCGCUCGCAGUGCCCUUGCGUGCACGACAUUGCAACACAUAAGCGCGCAGGUGCUCACCUGCGCAUUAAGUUUUUAACUGUUACUACUUGUGCUCUUUUUUACUUUGAUGUUUGUGGGUGUACGCCUCUGUGGAGCUCGGCGCGUUCCCCAUGAAUUUCGACUCCGCCUGUCUGGGCACCUCUCGGGUGUAACACCGUGUCACAGGUACCCGUUUUCGCUUUAUAUGUAUGUAUGCGUACCUUGAGGCUUGU
This 4514-nucleotide unclassified non-coding RNA is filed under the name Leishmania donovani. RNAcentral describes it as "gene:LdHU3.14.1010(CDS-product:fatty_acid_elongas e_putative)". Lineage: Eukaryota; Euglenozoa; Kinetoplastea; Trypanosomatida; Trypanosomatidae. The record is from RNAcentral.